RNAcentral lists this ribosomal RNA (700 nucleotides) under Paramonohystera megacephala. Its description in RNAcentral is "SSU rRNA". It matches the Rfam family "Eukaryotic small subunit ribosomal RNA", at positions 137 to 935 of the family's 1831-position model. The record is from RNAcentral. Lineage: Eukaryota; Metazoa; Nematoda; Chromadorea; Monhysterida; Xyalidae.
UACUUGGAUAACUGUGGUAAUUCUAGAGCUAAUACAUGCAUGACGAGCGCAUUUAUUAGAACAAAACCAAUUUUGGUGAAUCUGAAUAACUUUCGGUCUCGUACCGGCGACGCAUCUUUCAAGUGUCUGUUUUAUCAACUUUCGAUGUUAGGUUAUGCGCCUAACAUGGUUGUAACGGAUAACGGAGAAUAAGGGUUCGACUCCRGAGAGGGAGCCUGAGAAACGGCUACCACUUCUAAGGAAGGCAGCAGGCGCGCAAAUUACCCACUCUCAGUGAGGAGGUAGUGACGAAAAAUAACGAGACGAUGCCCUUUGUCRUCGKAAUGAGAACAAUCUAAACCCUUUAACGAGGACCUAGCGGAGGGCAAGUCUGGUGCCAGCAGCCGCGGUAAUUCCAGCUCCGCCAGUGUAUAUCUAUGCUGCUGCGGUUAAAAAGCUCGUAGUUGGAUCUGCCUCGGAGCCGGUCCGUCUGUUCGGCGUGAGGCCGGUUUUCGCUGGAUGCACUUAACCGUGUGUUCAGUGUGGCUGGCAGGUUUACUUUGAAAAAUUAGAGUGCUCACACAAGCGACUCGCUUGAAUACUGGUGCAUGGAAUAAUAGAAUAGGAGGUUCUAUUUUGUUGGUUUUCGGAACACGAAGUAAUGAUUAAGAGGGACAGAMSGGGGCAUUCGUAUCGCGACGUUAGAAGUGAAAUUCUUGGA